RNAcentral lists this long non-coding RNA (1300 nucleotides) under Marmota monax (woodchuck). The record is from RNAcentral. Lineage: Eukaryota; Metazoa; Chordata; Mammalia; Rodentia; Sciuridae.
GCCAGAGAUUGAACUCGGGGCACUUGACCACUGAGCCACAUUCCCAGCCCUUUUAUGUAUUUUAUUUGGAGACGGGGUCUCACUGAGUUGCGUAGCACCUUGCUGUUGCUGAAGCUGGCUUUAAACUUGGGAUCCUCCUGCCUCAGUCUCCUGAGCCACUGAGAUUAUAGGCUUAUACCACCACACCCAGCCUCAGGCAAUUUGUAUUGACUACUUGUUCGAAUAUAUGGGCCAUAACUUCUUGUUUCUUUGUAUGUUUUAUGAUUUUUUUAUUGAAAAGUAGACUUUUUUUUUAAUGGACAGAAUGCCUUUAUUUGUUUUUAUGUGGUGCUUAGGAUCAACCCAGUGCCUCAGAUAUGCUAGGCAAGUUCUCUGCCACCGAGCCCCAGCCCCAACCUGAAAAGUAGACUUUCAGUUAAUGAAGUGUAGCAACUCUGGGGUGAGACUCUCCCUUUCCCCAGCAUUUGUUGCUAUUUUUUGGCCUGGUGAUUUUCCUGAACUAAUCUGUAAAGCCUGUGUUCUUUUUUGGUGACCACUGCAGUCUCUGUUCAGUUAGUUUAGUCAGGGGAUAGAGCGAAAACCUCUGGGUCUAAAACCAGUAAGUCUCCCAGUCUCCCAGGGCCUCUGUGUGUUAGGACACACCUUCAGCCCAGACAGUAGUGGGCAGCCCUACUUCAUCCUUCACUUCCUGCUAAUGCCUCACCUCAAGGUCAGCCAGAGGUGACCACUUAGGGCCUCUAGGGUCCAUGGAGUGUCUGCAUAGCUCUAGCUUUACACAUACACAUGGCUUCCAGAUUCCUAGGGACACACAGGCCUUCUCAGGGUCCCUCAUGAUUCCUCCUUUACCCGCUGUUCCUUUUGUUGUUGUCGCUGUUGUUGCUGUUGGGGUUGGGGGUUUGUUUGUACAUUUUGGUUCCCCGGAAGUGCUUAACCAUUGAGCCACAUGCUCAGCCCUUUUUAUUUUGAGGCAGGGUCUCCCUAAGUUGCUGAAACUGGCUGAACUUGUGCUCCUCCUGGGAUUACAAGUGUGUGCCACCAUUCCCAGCUCAGCGUUCCCUUCUGUUGUCUGGUUAGCUAGUAUUAUAUGUGCUUUGAGCAGCCACAUCCUUUAAAAGUCACCCCUGGGUGUUCCAACAAACACUCCCAAGGGAAACACUCCCUGGGAGAGCUUCUAGCCUGGUCAGAGCCCUCCCUGCACGUGGGGUCUUCCAGGGAGCUGCCCUCAUAGGCUUUAAAGCAGCUGCAGGCCCGCCCACACCCCUGCUUCCCCACUGUGGGUGCAGCCCUUGGUCCAAGGCUG